This 447-nucleotide ribosomal RNA is filed under the name uncultured bacterium. RNAcentral describes it as "bacterial SSU rRNA". It matches the Rfam family "Bacterial small subunit ribosomal RNA", at positions 355 to 825 of the family's 1533-position model. The record is from RNAcentral.
UAACGAAUCUUCCGCAAUGGGCGAAAGCCUGACGGAGCAAUGCCGCGUGUGGGAUGAAGCGCCUUCGGCGUGUAAACCACUGUCAGGGAAUGGAACCAAUGAUUAUUCCCAAAGGAAGUGGCGACUAACUCUGUGCCAGCAGUCGCGGUAAUACAGAGGCCACAGGCGUUAGUCGGAAUCACUGGGCUUAAAGGGUGCGUAGGCGGGCCCGCAAGCGUCUUGUGAAAUCCCAUGGCUCAACCAUGGAAUUGCAGGGCGAACUGCGGGUCUUGAGGCAGGUAGGGGCCGGAAGAACAGUAGGUGGAGCGGUGAAAUGCGUAGAUAUCUACUGGAAUGCCGAUGGGGAAGCCGUCCGGCUGGGCCUGUCCUGACGCUGAGGCACGAAAGCGUGGGGAGCAAACAGGAUUAGAUACCCCCGUAGUCCCUGAGCGGGCUGGCAAGGCGCAU